AAUAAACUAAUUUUUUACUUUUUACCUGUAGUUUUUGACUCUUCAUCUUAUUCCAAUUUUUUAUGCGAAUGAUAUUUUUGUUUUUAUUAAAUGAUAAAUUAUAAAUAAGUACUUUACGUGUGACUAAUUUUUUUAAUUUCUUAAAAUUUUUUUAAAUAAUACAGAUGGUCAAACGUUGGACACUGAAACCUGAGAAUUGGCUUUUU
Molecule: microRNA precursor, 206 nt
Filed under: Oryza brachyantha (malo sina)
Lineage: Eukaryota; Viridiplantae; Streptophyta; Magnoliopsida; Poales; Poaceae
Description: MIR812 microRNA precursor family
Rfam family: MIR812 microRNA precursor family
Source: Rfam by way of RNAcentral